RNAcentral lists this transfer RNA (91 nucleotides) under Phocaeicola vulgatus PC510. RNAcentral describes it as "tRNA-Ser". It matches the Rfam family "tRNA". Rfam says of the family: Transfer RNA (tRNA) molecules are approximately 80 nucleotides in length. Their secondary structure includes four short double-helical elements and three loops (D, anti-codon, and T loops). Lineage: Bacteria; Pseudomonadati; Bacteroidota; Bacteroidia; Bacteroidales; Bacteroidaceae. The record is from RNAcentral.
GGAGAGGUGCUCGAGUGGUUGAAGAGGCACGCCUGGAAAGCGUGUAUACCCUAAAAGGGUAUCCGGGGUUCGAAUCCCCGUCUCUCCGCAA